GGCACGAUGGGCAUCGGCAAUGAAGGAGGCGUUCAGAGAUCCGGCGGCAAGAAAGGGGAAAAGUGGACUGAAAAUAAAAGUGUGCAGAGCUUCCGGGACCCAUGGGACAAUGACCAUCUAACAUUCGUGUCCCUGGAGUUCCCAGCCUUUGGCCAGGGAGAGACAGGACACCAAGGGGAACUGGAGAGGAAAUUCCACUCCUUCCAGAAGCUUUUCUGAAAGGCAAUCGUUUGUAUCCUGCCUGAACACAUUCUGCAAGGCCAAUCUUUGCACUUUUGCUGUUCAUGAAGCUGAGCCUGCUCUGCAUCCGCCCCUUUGUGACCGCUCUCCCUCGGGCCUGCCUCGCUCCUGCUUCCCUCCCGGUGCCUUCCCGGAGCACGCAUCUCAUCAGCACGCUAGCACAGGGGAAUUAAUUGUCCAACACAUCUGACUUCCCUGGGUGCACGUCCCAAGGCCAGAAAAAACCUUCAAGUGGAUAUUUUCAGGAGUCAGUGAGAAGGAAAAGUGAGCCUUCAAGAGAUUCAGCAACUUGCUGAAAGCGGAACUGGUGUUCAAACAGAGGUUCCCAUGUGUCUAAAGCUAAGUACCAAAUGACUCCCAUGUGGGGUUGAACAAGCUGCUAGAAAGGUGAAGAACCUGAAGAGAAGACAAGGCUAAAAAUGGUGCCUUCAGAGUGAAAUCUACAUUCGGCACCGGGAAGGGAUUGGAACAUGGCAUUGUUACUUAAACUUCCUUGAUGAUGAGACUCACCUGGGCAAUUGUUGGAAAUACCUGGUCCUUCUCAGGUCUGCUGAAUCCCUGUCUCCUCGCAGAGGAACCCAGAGGAGUCUGAUGAUCAGAGAAACAGAAAUGCUGGACGCUGGUCACAAUUCUGGCUUCCCAUUAGGACUACAUGGAGAGAGGCACCAGGCUGGCUUGGUGGGUAGAGCAUGCGACAACUCUUGAUCUCCAGGUGGUGAGUUCAGGCUCCAUGUUGGGAGUAGAGAUUACUUAAAAAUAAAAUCUUAAAAAAAAAAAAAUCAUAUUAAAAAAAAAAAAAGAAAGAAAAUCCUAUGAAGAGCUCUUUGUAAAUACUAAGCCUGGGCCCCACUCCUCAAUUAAAUUAUGAUCUGGGGCAAGAGUAGGGUAUAGGAGAGUGGCUUAUUAUGCUUAAAAAGUCCUCCCAGGUGAUUCCCAUGGGAAGUCAGCAUGAGGGUUCCUGGCUGGCUCAGUCGGAACAGUGUGGAACUCUCCAUCUUGGGGUGGUAUGUUCAAGCCUCAUGUUGGGUGUAGAGAUUACUUAAAUAGAUAAAACUUAAAAAAAAAAAAAGAGGAAGUCAGGGUUGCAAUCACAGAUACAUGGUUAGAGAUGAAAAUAGAUACUUCCCUUUCCUGGAUUCAUAAAGCUCAUCAAGGAACCUCUUUUACAGCAGUUUUUGCAUGCUACUUGAUUUGUAAAUAUUUGCAUAUCUGUUUUGACAAUGACAUUGCGUUGUAGCCUUGAAGGGCAGACACUUAUUAACUUUAUCACCCACAUACUUGGGACUGUGAUAUUGAAUAAACAUGUAUUUGCUCUCUGCAUGUAGAUAUUCAAAGGAUAUCCUUGGCAAUUCUGUUCAAGGACAAGAUAUAUAUAUAUAUAUAUAUAUAUAUAUAUAUAUAUAUAUAUAUAUC
Neogale vison (American mink) is the source of this 1653-nucleotide long non-coding RNA. RefSeq lists it as uncharacterized. The transcript has 3 exons. The record is from RefSeq and is a predicted model, not a curated record. Lineage: Eukaryota; Metazoa; Chordata; Mammalia; Carnivora; Mustelidae.